Long non-coding RNA from Coturnix japonica (Japanese quail), 1093 nucleotides. The record is from Ensembl. NCBI's taxonomy places the organism in Eukaryota, Metazoa, Chordata, Aves, Galliformes, Phasianidae.
CUUUCCCUUUGCUUUAUUUAUCAUGCUGCAAGUCCUGACUUAGCAGAAUAUACAUGCUCUAAUUCGAGUUGCCCAUAUGUGCUAUUGGCAACAUGUGCGAGCUUUAUUGUGUUACUCGCAUGCUUUUCUGCAGAUCUGAAAUAACACCGAUCUUUUUUCUCCCUCCAGAUGAAAAAGCCCUGAGCCUACACUCGGCCUUGCCAGUCGCUGUUUCCUGUCACUUGCGAUGGCCUCUUCCCAGAACGGUUAUUUCUGGUGAUGUCAGUGAAGUUACCUGUGUGCAGCUCUGGAGUAAUACCUUGCAGGCGGCUGUGGAGCUCUCUGGUGAGUAAUGAGCACACUGCAGACAUAAUUAGAUUCAAAUUGUCCUUGUGAAUAUUCACUGUUAAAAGAUCAGUUAUCAGUUAUCAGUCUCCAUGCUGUUUGGUACUCAGAAAUGCAAAGCUGGCUUAGUAGUAGGUGUUCAUUGCAUGACGGAUGCGGGCACGAGGAGAGGAGGAUCUCUAGCUUCAUUUGUACUGCAAAUGAAAACAAUCAUGAAGAUACAAACCACCAAGGUGCAAAAUGAGGUUUCCAAUUCAUAAGCACAAGCCACCAGGAGUUAAAACCUCUUGGUUUCUUCCCAUAGUGCCCCAGGCAGUAGUUUUCAUAUAUAUUUCUCCAUGGUCAGAAGUCAGAGCAGACCACUGCUAUGUAAGACCUUGACUUUUUUUCCCUGACAGUUACAAUUAUUACAGCCCGGGGGACUCAUUUUCUCAGUCUGGCCACCCGCUGACCUAGCCUGCAACCAGAAUACACUUUAAAACAAACAAACAACAGCUCUGCUCCCCACUCUUUGCUUCUCCUCCCCCAGCUCUGGAAUAUUUUUACACCGCGCCCCUUGCAAAAGGAUAUUAGCCACUAUUGCUGAAGGCACAAUCACAUUAUCAGCACCAUUCUCUCUCUCCUUCUCCCUCUCCUCCCCCCAAAGAUAAAUUUUUUAUGUUGCUAUUUUCUUCUCUUUUGUAUUUGGCAUUCGAUAUUUACUUGAUAAACUGCAGAGCUGCUACUAAAUGGGCCCUGAUACAACUUAAUAAAUACAUAACAGCAUCCA